RNAcentral lists this long non-coding RNA (530 nucleotides) under Oryza sativa aromatic subgroup. RNAcentral's name for it is "lncRNA OsARC_10g0014730". Lineage: Eukaryota; Viridiplantae; Streptophyta; Magnoliopsida; Poales; Poaceae. RNAcentral also lists the same sequence under 1 other name. The record is from RNAcentral.
CAGCACCGGCCGGCACGUGGCACGCGGUUUUUCUGGGCUUUUGGCCUCUUCCCCCUAGGCUCGCACCCCCAUCACCACCCGAUUCCCGGAACCCGCCCCAUUUCCGCCUCCUCCUUCGCCUUCGCGGCUUCGCCUCUCUCCCACACAUGCAUCGCCAUCGCCGUCAUCCUGAACAAGAAGACGAGCAUCUCAUCUCAUCUCAUCUGCCGAUCGAUCGAUUCGCUGCAGGGAGAGCUGAACAAUGGAGUUCGUGUUGAUCAUCUCGCUGCCGCUCCUCAUCCUGAUCAUAAUCGUCGCGGUGGUUCUCUGCAUCAUCUGCCGCUAGCUGAAUGGUGACACCUCAUUGUUCUUCCUGCCCAUAUCUUGAUGUGAACAUAUCAUGUAUCAAUUGAUUAGUAUCUCAUGACUCACAACAGAGCAGUCUCGUACUCUCUUUGGGGGGCCAGUGUGGUUGUGAUUAGUUUGGCCCUAGCUUUGAUGAGCAAAAAGACAUUGAUUCUGAAUGUCAUACAUACAUAUGUGCUGUGAGA